GGGGUAUUAGCUCAGUUGGGAGAGCGCCACACUGGCAGUGUGGAGGUCAGCGGUUCGAACCCGCUAUGCUCCACCA
This 76-nucleotide transfer RNA is filed under the name Clostridiales bacterium. RNAcentral describes it as "tRNA-Ala". It matches the Rfam family "tRNA". From Rfam's summary of the family: Transfer RNA (tRNA) molecules are approximately 80 nucleotides in length. Their secondary structure includes four short double-helical elements and three loops (D, anti-codon, and T loops). Lineage: Bacteria; Bacillati; Bacillota; Clostridia; Eubacteriales. RNAcentral also lists the same sequence under 3 other names. The record is from RNAcentral.